RNAcentral lists this ribosomal RNA (498 nucleotides) under uncultured bacterium. RNAcentral's name for it is "partial 16S ribosomal RNA". It matches the Rfam family "Bacterial small subunit ribosomal RNA", at positions 30 to 523 of the family's 1533-position model. The record is from RNAcentral.
AUUGAACGCUGGCGGCGUGCCUUACACAUGCAAGUCGAACGGUAACAGGUCUUCGGAUGCUGACGAGUGGCGAACGGGUGAGUAAUACAUCGGAACGUGCCUAGUAGUGGGGGAUAACUACUCGAAAGAGUGGCUAAUACCGCAUGAGAUCUACGGAUGAAAGCAGGGGAUCGCAAGACCUUGUGCUACUAGAGCGGCCGAUGGCAGAUUAGGUAGUUGGUGGGAUAAAAGCUUACCAAGCCGACGAUCUGUAGCUGGUCUGAGAGGACGAUCAGCCACACUGGGACGUAGACACGGCCCAGACUCCUACGGGAGGCAGCAGUGGGGAAUUUUGGACAAUGGGCGAAAGCCUGAUCCAGCAAUGCCGCGUGCAGGAUGAAGGCCUUCGGGUUGUAAACUGCUUUUGUACGGAACGAAAAGCCCCGGGUUAAUACCCUGGGGUCAUGACGGUACCGUAAGAAUAAGCACCGGCUAACUACGUGCCAGCCGCCGCCGCGG